Molecule: ribosomal RNA, 515 nt
Filed under: Hanseniaspora uvarum
Lineage: Eukaryota; Fungi; Ascomycota; Saccharomycetes; Saccharomycodales; Saccharomycodaceae
Description: partial large subunit ribosomal RNA
Rfam family: Eukaryotic large subunit ribosomal RNA
Source: RNAcentral
AGUGAAGCGGUAAAAGCUCAAAUUUGAAAUCUGGUACUUUCAGUGCCCGAGUUGUAAUUUGUAGAAUUUGUCUUUGAUUAGGUCCUUGUCUAUGUUCCUUGGAACAGGACGUCAUAGAGGGUGAGAAUCCCGUUUGGCGAGGAUACCUUUUCUCUGUAAGACUUUUUCGAAGAGUCGAGUUGUUUGGGAAUGCAGCUCAAAGUGGGUGGUAAAUUCCAUCUAAAGCUAAAUAUUGGCGAGAGACCGAUAGCGAACAAGUACAGUGAUGGAAAGAUGAAAAGAACUUUGAAAAGAGAGUGAAAAAGUACGUGAAAUUGUUGAAAGGGAAGGGCAUUUGAUCAGACAUGGUGUUUUUUGCAUGCACUCGCCUCUCGUGGGCUUGGGCCUCUCAAAAAUUUCACUGGGCCAACAUCAAUUCUGGCAGCAGGAUAAAUCAUUAAGAAUGUAGCUACUUCGGUAGUGUUAUAGCUUUUUGGAAUACUGUUAGCCGGGAUUGAGGACUGCGCUUCGGCAAG